UCGUAAUACCACUGCAGAACAGUUUUUCCAGUUCUUGCACACUGCCAAAACACAGAGGGAGCAAAGAAUUUUCCCACUUGAUGCUGUUUGAUUUUUUUCAAUGAAAAGUCAGGGAUGACACAGAUUGGAUGUUCUGGGAUAUCAACAGAGAAUUUUCAAUAUCAGGCUUUUGGAAACCAUGUGAUCAACCGAGAUGAACUUACAAGAGAGCUUCAAGUCUCAGCAUGCAUCAGCUCUUGGACUACACCAGCAUCCAUUCGAAUUGAGAGUAUGCAAGUCAGACAAGCACGGCCCUGGGGCUUUGGACACAGUCUAGACCUGAGGUGCAGUGAUGAAGUAGGGCGGAGAGGAUGUCAGAGGCUAUGAAACUCCAAAAUCAUAGGAAAGAGUACUGCAUCCAUCUCUGCUGUCUUCAACACAGGAAGGACAUCAACUUGUUGGAGCAAGUCUAGAGGAGGACCACCAAGUGGAUUAGAGGAAUGGAGCACUUCUGUUAUGAGGAAAGGCUAAGAGAACUGGCUUUCUUCAGCCUGGAAAAGAGAAGGCUUCGGGGUGACCUAAUGGUAGCCUUCCAGUAUCUAAAGGGAGCCUACAAGAAAGAUGCAGAGGGGCUUUUUAGAGAGACAUGUAGUGAUAGAACAAGGGUAAGUGGUUUCAAACUGAAAGAGAGUAGGUUUAGAUUAGAUAUUGGGACAAAAUUCUUUACUGUGAGGGGGUGUGUGCGAAGCACUGGAAUAGGCUGUCAAGAGAACUUGUGGACGCCCCACCCUGGAAGUGUUUAAGGGCAACCUGGUCUAGUGAAAAGUGUCACUGCCAACAGCAGAGGGUUUGGAACUAGGUGAUCUUUAAGGUCCCUUCUAACCCAGGCCAUUCUAUGAUUCUAUGAUUCUAUGAUUCUAUGAUUCUAUGAUAUCCGGAAAAAAUAAUCAUAACACCAGAAUGCUUGAACUGCAUCCUUGAAAAAUCGUGCCUACGGGCAGCAGCUGGAGGAGGAGGAGGGAUGUUCGGGGGAUGGAAGCCCUUCCUGAUGACCACCACGUCCCUGUGAUCCCCCAGACCGGGCGCGGGGGUCC
Molecule: long non-coding RNA, 1073 nt
Organism: Myiozetetes cayanensis
Lineage: Eukaryota; Metazoa; Chordata; Aves; Passeriformes; Tyrannidae
Exons: 4
Source: RefSeq, a predicted model, not a curated record